GAUGAACGCUGGCGGCGUGCCUAAUACAUGCAAGUCGAGCGAACAGAUGAGGAGCUUGCUCCUCUGACGUUAGCGGCGGACGGGUGAGUAACACGUGGAUAACCUACCUAUAAGACUGGGAUAACUUCGGGAAACCGGAGCUAAUACAGGAUAAUAUAUUGAACCGCAUGGUUCAAUAGUGAAAGACGGUUUUGCUGUCACUUAUAGAUGGAUCCGCGCCGCAUUAGCUAGUUGGUAAGGUAACGGCUUACCAAGGCGACGAUGCGUAGCCGACCUGAGAGGGUGAUCGGCCACACUGGAACUGAGACACGGUCCAGACUCCUACGGGAGGCAGCAGUAGGGAAUCUUCCGCAAUGGGCGAAAGCCUGACGGAGCAACGCCGCGUGAGUGAUGAAGGUCUUCGGAUCGUAAAACUCUGUUAUUAGGGAAGAACAAAUGUGUAAGUAACUAUGCACGUCUUGACGGUACCUAAUCAGAAAGCCACGGCUAACUACGUG
Molecule: ribosomal RNA, 497 nt
Filed under: uncultured bacterium
Lineage: Bacteria
Description: partial 16S ribosomal RNA
Rfam family: Bacterial small subunit ribosomal RNA
Source: RNAcentral